AUGCACAAUGAGCUUACCUUUGUAUAUCAGGAUUUUUUCUUCAUCGGUUACCCUUCCUUUAGCUGUAGUUUAUUUUCGUACAGAAACCAAUCUUGGUGUUCUUCCUAUUUGCAUUUGAUUAUCUUUUUAAAAUUCCCUAACAGAACUAUAUAUAACAAUGUGGGUAUGUGUUUUCUUCUUUCAGUGUCUAUAGUGCAUUUGCAUGAUGUUGAAUUAUGUGCUACAAAAUAUACAUUAGCUUCUAUGUGCUAA
RNAcentral lists this ribosomal RNA (252 nucleotides) under Triticum aestivum (bread wheat). RNAcentral's name for it is "partial small subunit ribosomal RNA". The record is from RNAcentral. Lineage: Eukaryota; Viridiplantae; Streptophyta; Magnoliopsida; Poales; Poaceae.